UAUGAAUACAUUGUUAGCAGCCAAAGCUGGCUGCAUUUCACCUUGACUGAGUUCUGUUAGAACUUGCCACACAGAGCAGCCUGUGAUUUGAAGGAAAUCUGAAUAUAAUAUUCUGUUCCAAAAUUAAAGGAGUUAGGGAAGUGUGUGUGUGUGUGUGUGUGUGUGUGUGUGUGUGUGUGUGUGUGUAUACUUUACAAAGCUUUGGGGAACUGUUUUAUCUAACAUGUCUUCUUCAAAAAGGAACACAAAAAUAAUACCUACAUCCAUCAUAAUUAACUCUGUGAUCCAACUUUUGAGAUCUAAUAAUCAGUUAUUAACUGAUCAGGUUUUCACAAUUAAAUGAUGAAACUUUAUUCUGUAGGUUUUUAAACCUUUUUUUUCUUUGCCCAUGACAUAACUAUGUGCGUGUGUGUCAUGAACAAAACCAUUGUGUGUAUACAUGUUGUGUGUGUGUAUAUACACAUAUACAUAGAAUGGUUUUUCAUUAUAUGUAAGUAUAUGUUUUAGGGAAUAAACUUUUGAGAACAUAUAAAUUUAAAAUCAUUGCACUUAUUUUAAAAUAUUUAACUUGAUUAUGUUAUCAUCUAUAAAAUAAAAUAAUAAUAUAUUACAUUUAUCCCUCAAAAUAGCCAUAACAAAAGUACAGAUAAUUUAUAAACAUAAUGGUUAUGUAAAAUAUGUAACAUGCUUUAAUUUUUUAGAAGUUUUCUAUCAAAACAUAAUUUUAUUCCAAAUGUGUUUAAUAAAUCAUUGGACAUUAUCAGGGAAGAAAAUUUUAAAUUUGAAAUGCACUUGUCUUUUGAUAAUAUGGUAAAUGUGUGAGAUAUGACAAUAAUCAUAAUCACUGAAAUAUAAACAACACUGGGCAUAGAUUUCCUCAUCUGUAAAAUAGAUGAAUCAAAUAAUAUCUAAAAUCAUUUAUAUCUCUAAGACUUUGAGUCAACAAAUUAUGUAACAAUUAGAAAUAGAUAAGACACUACAAUAAUUAUUCAAUUCUUGGUAAAUUUGAGAUCAGAGGCACUGAAAACUUGGUAAAUUCCUUCAAUACAGGAACAAAAUGAGAUGCUCAUACUUUCUAUUGACUAAUAAAGGAGGACAAGGCAACAUUAGUUAAAGGGAUACCAUGUUUCCGAAGCAGUAUGCUCCUGUUGACAUUUUUAUUACCUGGAUCCAUGGAAGAAACUUAGUCCACAAUCUUUUAUUUUAAGAUCAAUAGGAUCAAGGUGAAAAAAAAAUACAUAUAAAAAUAGGUCACAUACUAAUCCCUGUUGGUUUAUAUUUAAAAGACCUGCAAGAAACUGAGUUAUACCCAUUUGGUCAUUGAGAAAGAGAAAUAACCAGAGAGUUAAAUUGCCAGGUUAUAGAAUAUUGUGUUUCCAGUUACAGUUUGGUUAGCUUUGCUUCAGGAGGCUGCUGAGAUGUACUUCAUUUUGAGCUAUUUCCUUCAGCCUGUGAGAGGAGAAGUCAAUGUUGCAGAUUAUGACUGGCUCCACUAAGAAGAGUUGUUUAAUCAAAAUACUGCUGUAGAUAUUUCCAGAUGAAAGCUUUACUGAAUUUUGCUAUCGAGGCAGCACAUUGCUUAGGAACCUCUAAGAAAGAAGUAGAAAACACUGGGAUUAGACCCAGACACAUGAAAUUCCAGUCCUGGUUCUGACGCUCUCUAGUGUGACCCUGACAAAACUUUUUAGGUCUUGGUGUUCUCAUCUUAAAAUUCAGAAGAGAAUAAAAAAAUAGAUUUUAGUAUCUGAACGAUCCUUGUCUAUGUCUUCUCAUCCUCCAUGCUUUAUAUAAUAUCUGACCCCUGGAAAGAGAUUAAUAUAACUUUUGAACUUCAGUUAUGAAAAACUAAAACUUUUCCCAAUAAGCGUGCAAAAGCAUUAAUACUGUUUUCAAAGAUUUGUUUGUUUCAUUUGUCCAACACUAGUAAAGUCUAGCGCAUAAAAAAAAACCCUAUGCUUUGAACUUAUGUCUUAAGACUCUUAUACCAAUGCUCUUUCUCCUCAACAUCAAGUGCUAUACUAAAUGGGAAGGCUAAUAGAAGUUAUAAUAUUUAUAUUUAAAUGAUUGGUCAGGCCAUGGUUAUAGUCCAUGAAGACUCUAGGAUAAUUUUUAUCAGUAUUAUCUACAAGACUUAUUUAGAGGUAAUAGGCAAAUUGCACCCCACUUAAGAGUUGUCAUUUUCUAAACUCCAGAUGAAAUAAAUGGCAUUGAGGACUUCCAUGGAGGCAUGGAGGCACAAGACAAAAUAUAGGUAAUGCCAACUCUCAAGUACACACUGAAAUAUGAUGAAAAAUAUUUAAGAAAAUGCAGCAGAGCAAAAUGAAAAUGUUUCAAUAAUCAAUGUAGCGAUUCUUAGGCAAUAUGGUAUUAAUCAACACAUUAAUUCCAUCUUAUGUAUUUCAUAUAUAUAUAUAAAGUAAUCUUUUCCCAUAACAGAUUGAAGACACUUGCAAGCAUUUAAUAGUGAGCAAGCUUGUUUUUUGAACUAGAAUGCUGUACCAGUUAUGUUGAGGAGCUAAGGAAAAAAUGGGAUGUGUCCUACUCUCUAGUUGUUUAAAUCACGGAUGGACUAGCACAUAGAGAUUCAAGCACCAAAUUCUCGGUAGUUAGCAACUAACGCUACAAACACAGAGUCUAGAUAUAACCACGCAGAUACUGUCAAUAGUGGUUUCUAUAGAACUGGGGAAUAAUGUAUAAUUGAAGAAUGACAUAUAUAAUGACAGUCAUAGUUGUCUAUUUCAGAGUCUUACACGCAGGCUUGUGCCUACAUUUGGGGUCCCACGUAAGGCUCCCAAGUGCCAUGGUCCCACAGUAAUGAAUACCAAUUACCAUGUGAAAUGCACUUUGACUCAUACCAGGGGAAGCUAACUCAAAAUCUCUGGAAUACUGUUUAUAUUCUUUUACUAAGGUAGCCAAAUGAAUAAAAAAAUGUCGUUUGACAAAUUUAGCUCUCUACCGGCUUAACUGACCACUUAUUUUGAAUUUGUGUAGUUACAGCCUUGGAGCAUAGUUCUGCCAUAAGAAUAAACAGGACAAAACAAAACACUUUUACAUAAAACCUAUUACAGACAGACUACCUCUAGUGAGAAUGCAAGAAAGAUCUUUAAAAAUGAUUUCCAUGAUUGUGUUGUGAGUUAAUAGGUUUCAGGUAUUAUGUUGUAAGUUAAUAAUUCCUAUGUUCACAAUUGUCUGCAAGCCAUCACUUAUACUCGGAGAUAAUUUAUGCAGUCAACAAAAUUAUGCAUACCAUGCUUUAUUAAAAAUGUACCAACAAUUUGAGAAGAAACACAUAAUUUUUAUAAUCUUUACAUCAAAAAAUUCUACUAAGGAAAUAAGUUGACCUGACCUUUUAUUAUUUUACCUUGCAAUUGCUUAGCAGAUUUAAAGUUAUUUCAUUGCUAAAUGAAUUGCAUUUAGUAAAAGGAACGAGAUCCAAUGACUAGGCCAUUAAGAGUGAAUAUGCUGUUUUUUAUUAUUAAACCAAACAGCUGAUUUUUAGUUCUAAUUGUACACAUAACUUACCAUCUUCAAGGACAUUAUAAUGUUAUUGUUAAAAUAUCUCCCAUGACUACAAAUUUGAACAAGAGCAGAAAACUCUGAAUUUUAAAUGAGUAACAUUACAUCCAUAUAUACAUAAAUAAAACUAUUUUGUUAAUCUAUAGAUAGUAUUUCUUCUAGUAUUUUAUAAUGUGUUUCCCCAAGAGAGUCAAAUAACAAAUCAAAAGCAAUUGGCUAAAAGUCUGCCUAUUCUUUUCAUUAUUCUUAUUCAUUAUUCUUAUUAAGUAUUCUUGGAUUUGGAUCUCUCAAGAAAAUCAAUAUUUUUUAUAGAUAUUCAUGAUUGUUUGAGCCUCUCCUCUUCCAAAAGGAAGAAUCCUUGCUAGAAUAAAGAGCUGACACUGGCAAAUGAGCUAUGACAUAGACUAAUUCAAAAUGAACAUUUCAAUAUAACAAAAUUAUAAAUUCUCACUUAAAUGAGGGUACAAAAUGACCUUUCCAAGAAUGAACACCAUUAAUUAUGGUGACAUUAUGCCUCAGUUUGCUAGGUUAGUCCCAGUUCAUAUUUCCACACUCAAAACUGUCAUGAUUUGAAUGUAAAAGUAUAUAUAUGAUCACCUUAGCCAUACUUACGCAUAGUGCACUGACAAGUGGUAGCAUAAAUAUUGAGAGGAAUUCCUUUGCAAACUUGAGUCUCCUUUCCCAGAAGAGUUUAAAAUAGUUCUUCCUAUUUCUAGGAUAGUUUUAGUUGGCAUUGAAAAAGAUGCCCUUUUCGUCUCUAGAUAUGUAUUUAUUGUGAAUUUUUGCUGAAUUGCUUAUUUGCAGAAUGUCAAUCUUGAUUACAAAAAUAAACUGUUUAUUUAAUUUUAAGCUUAUGUGUGUUGACAUAAGUAGCAUAAGAUUAAAUGACCAUGUCUUAAGUUCUAAAGAUGCCAAAUAGUAUGAAUGUUCUCCCACUACAGACUUUUUUAUUCAGCUAUUGUCAUACUUAUAUAACUGGUAAAGUUACUAGUAAUUUAUAUGUUUCUCUUCAAUAAUUUACUCAUGUUUAACAUCACUCUGUUGUAUACAGUGAAAGUUUUUAAACAUAAAGGAAGUGGAAUUAUAUACAGUACAUAUAUUAAAGAGUACUACAACGUAUUUGCCUAAAAAUUGUCAAUACCUUUGAGAAACCAGCAGAUAUUUUACACUUAGCUUUGAGGAGUGAGGUAUCUACAGUCUCAUCCUGCCAUCUAGUGUUAAGCAGUCUCACAUUGUAAAAAGCUGCUUUCUAACGGAAUAAUGAAAUUCUUUUUUUCUCUGACAAAAAUCCCAACAACUAGGAAAGAUCACUAAGAAAAUAUUCUGAAGCACUUAACUAGAUUUACAGUGGGCAGAUAUUUACUGUAGACUAUACAAUUAAAGUAUCAACUUAUAUAUAGUGGAAAAAAGUACAUCAUAAAAUAUUUAGAUACAAAGACAAAACAAUAAAUAUAUGUUAAAACAUAAUAUAAGUAAAAAAUGCAAAUUAAAAAGACAUACUAUCUUUUGUCUUCCAAUGAAUGUAUAUAUCAGGUGCAUAUAUAAUAUAUUUAAAUAUUGAUUUAAAUAUACACAAUGCUGAAGCCCAUGGCUAGGCUAGAGGGGAUUAACUCCUAUGUAUCUGACCAGGAAUACAAAUCAGAUCUUCAAAAGCUCACAACAGAGUGACAGUGUCUCUGACAUCUGACAAAUGAAGCCCUCACCAUAUCCAAGCAUGAAAGAUAUACAUUCCACCACUGUAUGUUAGAAAAAAAUCAAUUGCUAAUUGGCUAUAAUCCUGUUCUGGCUUAAUACAACUGACACUUGAGAGAGACAUUAUUUGGGGGCAUAAUUAUUACCUCCAAGCUCUAUCUCUAUAAACAUUUGUAUCAUAAGAAAGCAAGUUUCUGAACAAUAACCAUCCAUAAAACACAUAUUAAUUGAUCAUCUACCAUAUGCCAACAUUUGGAUAGAUACCAGAAGUACAAAAAUUGGUAAUAGAGACAUGAUCCUUGAUCUGAAAGAAUUUACUUUCUAUCCUCAGGUAGACAUUUAGAAAAAUAUACUUAUUUUUGCUUAUAUUGCUUAAACAUUCAGAUUCUAAAAAGCACUAUGUUCAAUGACUAAAACAGGUGAGCACUGAAGGGAGGAUGGAGGGAGAACAUAUUUCCUAUAGAAAAGCACUUUCUCUGAAGAUAAUAAUUACUCUGGAACCUAGAAGGGGAGAAAUAUGAAGCAUUCUAUAGAUUAGAAAGAAGUCUGAAGUAGGGCUUCCCAGAUGAGAGCUUGAGAGGAUUCAGAUGCCACAGUAAUUGCUGGAGGAAUGCUCUUUAGACUUUAGGCAAAAGCAGUAAGGGAAGGAAGCAGAUUUGGGGAAAAAAACAAACAAACAUGAGGUGAGCAAACACGUGGUCUCAAGUAAACUCUGGAUUUGGCCUAAACAAUAGGGAUAGGGCUCUGGAAUGUAAUCUGAAUGACAAGUUGGCCUCCCUUGAUGCAAGGGAAUCCCUCUUUAGCAGGUCCUUGUUAGUCAUUGUAUGAGCCACUCUGGGAGUGGGAGUGCGAGUAGUGCUUUCAAGGGAAAGAACUACCAUCAGCUGAGGACAGUUUGGAGAAGGAUGCAGCUGAGGGCUAUUAGCAGCUAAUUCUCCCAACAACUGGGAGAUGAGUUACCGGCUCAGUAAAAGAAUGUGGGAGGGGGCACCAAAACAGAGUUUGCUUGAAGACUAUUGCAAGUAAACAAAACCUGUCCAGGUGGUGCACCUAGAGUCUGGAGACCAGUGAGCAAGAAGGGAGUCCCACACGAAUACAUCAGGACAUAAGUUGUAGGACCUUGUAGACUGUGAUGUAGUCAAUUUGGAAAUGGCGAGCUGCAUCAACAUAGGUCAGCGUUGAAGAAAUACAGGGGACCACUGAGAAUGGACCACCUUAUGCUAGAAGAGAUGUGGUUAUUACCAAGAGAAGAGCCAGAAUGUCCUAAUUUUUCUGAAAAAGUACAACAGAAAUAACACAGGCUGAAGAAACCAUGACAAGUUAUUCAAGAUUAUCAAACAGGUACAUAAAGUUUAUAAACACACCAAUGAAACAGGUUUUAUCAACUAUUAAAGUUUAAUAGUUGAUUACUGAUUAUUAAAGGAAAAUGUAGAAUAGUUUUCUAGACUCUUGUUAUGGAUUUGUUUAAAAAUAUACCAGUUGAUCAAUGUGGAACUGAGUAGCAAUUGUAAGGUAACAAGUGUGUUGACAUUAGAAAUUAAAUAGAGACAUCUUUUUAAAUUCAACAGUUUUUUAAGGGCAGACAUUAAUGUCAACUCUUUGAUUUGCUCUCUCUAAUCCACAGUUGUGCCAUUUUUUACACAUAACUUGUUACAAACAAUAGUAUAUCUAUUCUCAUAUAUAUUAGUACUAUAUCAUACCAUGUUAAAUCAUUUCCCUAAUUAUGAAAGUAUAGGUGUUUGAUAUUACAAGUACAUAUAUAUCAUGGUCCAUUCUUUUACUUACCAUGGUUGGUAAUGGUAUUUUAGCAAUGUUGAAAAAGUUAUACGACACUGUCUAUGUUUUAAAAUAGAAUGAGGCAAUUAUUUUGAUCUUGAGUUAGAAUUUUUUUCCCUCAUUAUUCCGUCACUUAUUUUAGUCACAGAAGAAUUUCAUAUCUUGUGAAGGGAGUUGUACAUACAGAAAACUCAAUUUUUUUCAUUUUAAUUUUUUUUAAUUUAAUUUUUUUAUUUUUUAAAAUUUACAUCCAAAUUAGCAUAUGGUGAAACAAUGAUUUCAGGAGUAGAAUUUUUUUAAUUUUAUUAAGUCCAACAAUAGAGGCCUAAUUUUAAAGAAGUUGCAUUUGCUUAUAGAUUUAUCGGUAUGAUAGACAUGGACAAUUGUGGCUGGUACCACCAAAAUAAUAAAGACCAAAUAAUGCCAUUUCAUACUUCUGGAGGAUUGUCUAUAAUAUAUUUUCUAAGACUUUAAGUAUUCACUCUGGUCACUUCUGAGGGAUAUUGAAACCUCAAAAUUGGGGCGCCUGGGUGGCGCAGUCGGUUAGGCGUCCGACUUCGGCCAGGUCACGAUCUCGCGGUCCGUGAGUUCGAGC
Long non-coding RNA from Felis catus (domestic cat), 7579 nucleotides. RefSeq lists it as uncharacterized. The record is from RefSeq and is a predicted model, not a curated record. NCBI's taxonomy places the organism in Eukaryota, Metazoa, Chordata, Mammalia, Carnivora, Felidae. The transcript has 3 exons.